RNAcentral lists this transfer RNA (75 nucleotides) under bacterium. RNAcentral's name for it is "tRNA-His". It matches the Rfam family "tRNA". From Rfam's summary of the family: Transfer RNA (tRNA) molecules are approximately 80 nucleotides in length. Their secondary structure includes four short double-helical elements and three loops (D, anti-codon, and T loops). Further hydrogen bonds mediate the characteristic L-shaped molecular structure. tRNAs have two regions of fundamental functional importance: the anti-codon, which is responsible for specific mRNA codon recognition, and the 3' end, to which the tRNAs corresponding amino acid is attached (by aminoacyl-tRNA synthetases). tRNAs cope with the degeneracy of the genetic code in two manners: having more than one tRNA (with a specific anti-codon) for a particular amino acid; and 'wobble' base-pairing, i.e. permitting non-standard base-pairing at the 3rd anti-codon position. RNAcentral also lists the same sequence under 3 other names. The record is from RNAcentral.
GUGGGCGUAGCUCAAUGGUCGAGCACUGGGUUGUGGUCCCAGGGGUUGAGGGUUCGAGUCCCUUCGCCCACCCCA